Molecule: unclassified non-coding RNA, 195 nt
Filed under: uncultured Eutypella
Lineage: Eukaryota; Fungi; Ascomycota; Sordariomycetes; Xylariales; Diatrypaceae
Description: sequence contains ITS1
Source: RNAcentral
AUGAGUUUUCUAAACUCCAAACCCUUGAGAACAUACCUAGUUGCCUCGGCGGACUUGCCCUGGGACGACCUACCCUGCAGCGAGUUACCCUGUAACGAGUUGCCCUGUAGAGACCUGCCCUGUAGCCUGCCCGUCGGCGGCCAACCUAAACUCUGUUUUAUUGUGGCACUUCUGAGGAUUAUUCUAAAUGAAUUA